RNAcentral lists this ribosomal RNA (1032 nucleotides) under Arkaya lepida. Its description in RNAcentral is "eukaryotic LSU rRNA". It matches the Rfam family "Eukaryotic large subunit ribosomal RNA", at positions 22 to 979 of the family's 3401-position model. The record is from RNAcentral. Lineage: Eukaryota; Fungi; Chytridiomycota; Chytridiomycetes; Polychytriales.
GUACCCGCUGAACUUAAGCAUAUCAAUAAGCGGAGGAAAAGAAAAUAACAAUGAUUACCCUAGUAGCGGCGAGUGAAGCGGUAAGAGCUCAAAUUUGAAAUCUCCAAGGUUUUUUACUUUGGCGAAUUGUAGUUUAAAGAACCAUUUUCUUGGAUAAACUGAGUAUAAGUCCUUUGGAACGAGGCAUCGUAGAGGGUGAUAAUCCCGUUUAUGAUUCAGUUUUAAUUCAUUUGUGAUAUGGUUUCUAAGAGUCGGGUUGUUUGGGAAUGCAGCCCUAAAUGGGAGGUAAAUACCUUCUAAAGCUAAAUAUUGACGAGAGACCGAUAGCGAACAAGUACCGUGAGGGAAAGAUGAAAAGAACUUUGAAAAGAGAGUUAAAUAGUACGUGAAAUUGUCAAUAGUGAACGGUUUGGAACUAUUGUAUGUGAAUUUCUAAUCAAUUACUUAUAAAGUAGUGCACUUAGAUUUUUUACAGGUCAACAUCAGUUUAAUUUGAAGUAGAAAGCUUAAAGGUUUUAUUCUCUUUUGGGUAAAACUCUUUUUGCUAUGCUUUGGAAUAGACUGAGGAAUGUAGUAUGGAUGGUGAACUUGUUGCCUUUUGAAGAUGCCUGGUAAACAAUUUAUUGAUUAUCAGGUAAUUCCUAUUAAGCCCAGCUUGUGAGCCCCCGUACUCUGGAUGUUGACGAAAUGGUUUUAAGCCACCCGUCUUGAAACACGGACCAAGGAGUCUAACAUAUCCGCGAGUAUUUGGGUGUCAAACCCACAUGCGUAAUGAAAGUGAAUAAGAUGGGAUCCAAUUUAUUUUGGUGCACCAUCGACCGGUCUGGAUUUUUUUGAUAGAUCUGAGUUAGAGCGUACAUGUUAGGACCCGAAAGAUGGUGAACUAAGCCUGAAUAGGGUGAAGUCAGAGGAAACUCUGAUGGAAGCUCGUAGCGGUUCUGACGUGCAAAUCGAUCGUCGAAUUUGGGUUUAGGGGCGAAAGACUGAUCGAACCAUCUAGUAGCUGGUUCCCUCCGAAGUUUCCCUCAGGAU